RNAcentral lists this unclassified non-coding RNA (326 nucleotides) under fungal sp. Its description in RNAcentral is "partial internal transcribed spacer region". The stretch from base 1 to 46 matches the Rfam family "Eukaryotic small subunit ribosomal RNA", at positions 1786 to 1831 of the family's 1831-position model. The record is from RNAcentral. Lineage: Eukaryota; Fungi.
AAGUCGUAACAAGGUAACCGUAGGUGAACCUGCGGUUGGAUCAUUACUGAAUACUCAUUCGGGGGAAAUUCCCGGAUCAGACUUUUCGGAGUCUUGUCCGGGAAUCCUCCCCGCUAUGAUAUUACACCCCCUUGUGAAUCGUUUACCGUAUUUUGGCAGCCGUCCAAAAUUUCCCUUCCUUUUUUGGAAAGGUUAUUUUCCCGGCUAUCAGCUUUAAUAAAAACACCGCAUAACUUUUUCAAUCCAGUCUCCAUGUAAUUUACCUUUUGGGUUUUACAAAUAUAAGUAAUAGUAAACAACUUUUGACAACGGAUCUCUUGGCUCUC